CUCUCAAAGCAGCCUCGCUGGAGGGGGUGGAGCCACCAGGGGAAGGGGACAAACUUGUUGGUGAGGAGGCGGGGGGGUCGGUGGAGAGGGAGGGGCCUGUGGAGGAGCCGGGGGCGGAGCCGGGGGCGGAGCUGACGUCUGGCAUCACAGCGGCCUUCAACACAUUCAAAACCCAGCUGGAACAACACUUCGCUGGCUGCUGGCACAACGUUGAAAGUGAAAUUCUUCUCUCAAUAAAAGAGUGUCAA
Molecule: long non-coding RNA, 248 nt
Organism: Etheostoma cragini (Arkansas darter)
Lineage: Eukaryota; Metazoa; Chordata; Actinopteri; Perciformes; Percidae
Exons: 2
Source: RefSeq, a predicted model, not a curated record